GAGUGCUUAUCAAACGACCCUCGAGCUAGAUCCGCCCGAGGCGCCAAACUGCACGCACCCUUCUGCAAGUGGAAUAGGGUCGCGCGGCACGCUGUGCUGGCGAACCGGACUCAAAUUAGCAAAUGUGCCAGAGGGUUACCCCGAGUCGAAAUUCAACUUCUUUAUAUUACAAGAUGAGGACCUGAGACACAACUGGAGGAACUAUCCAGUGUCCCAGCAUUCAGUGGUUGUUUACAUUUUAAAUGUAUCAUAAACAUCAUAUAGUUGGCUUUUUUUUAAUUUAAUAAUCAUAUUUUCUUUUCAUUGAA
This is a long non-coding RNA of Prionailurus viverrinus (fishing cat), 308 nucleotides long. RefSeq lists it as uncharacterized. NCBI's taxonomy places the organism in Eukaryota, Metazoa, Chordata, Mammalia, Carnivora, Felidae. The transcript has 2 exons. The record is from RefSeq and is a predicted model, not a curated record.